UUACGGGAGGCAGCAGUGAGGAAUCUUCCACAAUGGGCGAAAGCCUGAUGGAGCAACGCCGCGUGAAGGAUGAAGGCCCUCGGGUUGUAAACUUCUUUUAUAAGUGAAGAAUAUGACGGUAACUUAUGAAUAAGCACCGGCUAACUACGUGCCAGCAGCCGCGGUCAUACGUAGGGUGCAAGCAUUAUCCGGAGUGACUGGGCGUAAAGAGUUGCGUAGGUGGUUUGUUAAGUGAAUAGUGAAAUCUGGUGGCUCAACCAUUCAGGCUAUUAUUCAAACUGGCAGACUCGAGAAUGGUAGAGGUAACUGGAAUUUCUUGUGUAGGAGUGAAAUCCGUAGAUAUAAGAAGGAACACCAAUGGCGUAGGCAGGUUACUGGACCAUUUCUGACACUGAGGCACGAAAGCGUGGGGAGCGAACCGGAUUAGAUACCCCGGUAGG
RNAcentral lists this ribosomal RNA (440 nucleotides) under uncultured bacterium. RNAcentral's name for it is "bacterial SSU rRNA". It matches the Rfam family "Bacterial small subunit ribosomal RNA", at positions 339 to 794 of the family's 1533-position model. The record is from RNAcentral.